AUUGAACGCUGGCGGCAGGCUUAACACAUGCACGUCGAGCGGUGUGAUGGUGCUUGCACUAUCACUUAGCGGCGGACGGGUGAGUAAUGCUUAGGAAUCUGCCUAUUAGUGGGGGACAACAUCUCGAAAGGGAUGCUAAUACCGCAUACGUCCUACGGGAGAAAGCAGGGGAUCACUUGUGACCUUGCGCUAAUAGAUGAGCCUAAGCCGGAUUAGCUAGUUGGUGGGGUAAAGGCCUACCAAGGCGACGAUCUGUAGCGGGUCUGAGAGGAUGGUCCGCCACACUGGGACUGAGACACGGCCCAGACUCCUACGGGAGGCAGCAGUGGGGAAUAUUGGACAAUGGGGGGAACCCUGAUCCAGCCAUGCCGCGUGUGUGAAGAAGGCCUUAUGGUUGUAAAGCACUUUAAGCGAGGAGGAGGCUCUUUUGGUUAAUACCCAAGAUGAGUGGACGUUACUCGCAGAAUAAGCACCGGCUAACUCUGUGCCAGCCGCCGCCGUAA
This 503-nucleotide ribosomal RNA is filed under the name uncultured bacterium. RNAcentral describes it as "partial 16S ribosomal RNA". It matches the Rfam family "Bacterial small subunit ribosomal RNA", at positions 30 to 523 of the family's 1533-position model. The record is from RNAcentral.